This 120-nucleotide ribosomal RNA is filed under the name Scophthalmus maximus (turbot). The record is from RNAcentral. Lineage: Eukaryota; Metazoa; Chordata; Actinopteri; Pleuronectiformes; Scophthalmidae.
GCUUACGGCCACACCGCCUGGUUCACGCCCGAUCUCGUUUGAUCUCGGGAAGCUAAGAUAGGAUGGGCCUGGUUAGUACUUGGAUGGGAGACCGCCUAGGAAUACCAGGUGCUGUAAGGC